RNAcentral lists this ribosomal RNA (497 nucleotides) under uncultured bacterium. RNAcentral describes it as "partial 16S ribosomal RNA". It matches the Rfam family "Bacterial small subunit ribosomal RNA", at positions 28 to 507 of the family's 1533-position model. The record is from RNAcentral.
GAUGAACGCUGGCGGCGUGCCUAAUACAUGCAAGUCGAGCGAACAGACGAGGAGCUUGCUCCUCUGACGUUAGCGGCGGACGGGUGAGUAACACGUGGAUAACCUACCUAUAAGACUGGGAUAACUUCGGGAAACCGGAGCUAAUAACGGAUAAUAUAUUGAACAGCAUGGUUCAAUAGUGAAAGACGGUUUUGCUGUCACUUAUAGAUGGAUCCGCGCCGCAUUAGCUAGUUGGUAAGGUAACGGCUUACCAAGGCAACGAUGCGUAGCCGACCUGAGAGGGUGAUCGGCCACACUGGAACUGAGACACGGUCCAGACUCCUACGGGAGGCAGCAGUAGGGAAUCUUCCGCAAUGGGCGAAAGCUUGACGGAGCAACGCCGCGUGAGUGAUGAAGGUCUUCGGAUCGUAAAACUCUGUUAUUAGGGAAGAACAAAUGUGUAAGUAACUAUGCACGUCUUGACGGUACCUAAUCAGAAAGCCACGGCUAACUACGUG